Molecule: ribosomal RNA, 1326 nt
Filed under: Streptococcus mitis
Lineage: Bacteria; Bacillati; Bacillota; Bacilli; Lactobacillales; Streptococcaceae
Description: bacterial SSU rRNA
Rfam family: Bacterial small subunit ribosomal RNA
Source: RNAcentral
UCACUACCAGAUGGACCUGCGUUGUAUUAGCUAGUAGGUGAGGUAACGGCUCACCUAGGCGACGAUACAUAGCCGACCUGAGAGGGUGAUCGGCCACACUGGGACUGAGACACGGCCCAGACUCCUACGGGAGGCAGCAGUAGGGAAUCUUCGGCAAUGGACGAAAGUCUGACCGAGCAACGCCGCGUGAGUGAAGAAGGUUUUCGGAUCGUAAAGCUCUGUUGUAAGAGAAGAACGGGUGUGAGAGUGGAAAGUUCACACUGUGACGGUAUCUUACCAGAAAGGGACGGCUAACUACGUGCCAGCAGCCGCGGUAAUACGUAGGUCCCGAGCGUUGUCCGGAUUUAUUGGGCGUAAAGCGAGCGCAGGCGGUUAGAUAAGUCUGAAGUUAAAGGCUGUGGCUUAACCAUAGUACGCUUUGGAAACUGUUUAACUUGAGUGCAGAAGGGGAGAGUGGAAUUCCAUGUGUAGCGGUGAAAUGCGUAGAUAUAUGGAGGAACACCGGUGGCGAAAGCGGCUCUCUGGUCUGUAACUGACGCUGAGGCUCGAAAGCGUGGGGAGCGAACAGGAUUAGAUACCCUGGUAGUCCACGCCGUAAACGAUGAGUGCUAGGUGUUAGGCCCUUUCCGGGGCUUAGUGCCGCAGCUAACGCAUUAAGCACUCCGCCUGGGGAGUACGACCGCAAGGUUGAAACUCAAAGGAAUUGACGGGGGCCCGCACAAGCGGUGGAGCAUGUGGUUUAAUUCGAAGCAACGCGAAGAACCUUACCAGGUCUUGACAUCCCGAUGCCCGCUCUAGAGAUAGAGUUUUACUUCGGUACAUCGGUGACAGGUGGUGCAUGGUUGUCGUCAGCUCGUGUCGUGAGAUGUUGGGUUAAGUCCCGCAACGAGCGCAACCCUUAUUGUUAGUUGCCAUCAUUCAGUUGGGCACUCUAGCGAGACUGCCGGUAAUAAACCGGAGGAAGGUGGGGAUGACGUCAAAUCAUCAUGCCCCUUAUGACCUGGGCUACACACGUGCUACAAUGGCUGGUACAACGAGUCGCAAGUCGGUGACGGCAAGCUAAUCUCUUAAAGCCAGUCUCAGUUCGGAUUGUAGGCUGCAACUCGCCUACAUGAAGUCGGAAUCGCUAGUAAUCGCGGAUCAGCACGCCGCGGUGAAUACGUUCCCGGGCCUUGUACACACCGCCCGUCACACCACGAGAGUUUGUAACACCCGAAGUCGGUGAGGUAACCUUUUAGGAGCCAGCCGCCUAAGGUGGGAUAGAUGAUUGGGGUGAAGUCGUAACAAGGUAGCCGUAUCGGAAGGUGCGGCUGGAUCACCUCCUUU